This 107-nucleotide small nucleolar RNA is filed under the name Eutrema salsugineum. Its description in RNAcentral is "Plant small nucleolar RNA R71". It matches the Rfam family "Plant small nucleolar RNA R71". Rfam says of the family: R71 is a member of the C/D box family of snoRNAs containing the C (UGAUGA) and D (CUGA) box motifs. Multiple nearly identical copies of this snoRNA have been identified in Arabidopsis, and it is thought to function as a 2'-O-ribose methylation guide for 18S ribosomal RNA. The record is from Rfam by way of RNAcentral. Lineage: Eukaryota; Viridiplantae; Streptophyta; Magnoliopsida; Brassicales; Brassicaceae.
AACCCAUGGUGUGGGCAUUGGUUUGUGUAGCUCCUGAAUCUCUCAUAUGCUUCACCAAAACUCUCAUUGCUAUGCUGAGUGAAGAUAGAGAUUUGAUUCCUUAGUUU